Molecule: long non-coding RNA, 479 nt
Filed under: Mytilus galloprovincialis (Mediterranean mussel)
Lineage: Eukaryota; Metazoa; Mollusca; Bivalvia; Mytilida; Mytilidae
Source: RNAcentral
GGGAUUGAUUUUGGGAGUUUUGGUCCCAACAUUUUAGGAAUUAGGGGCCAAAAAGGGCCCAAAUAAGCAUUUUCUUGGUUUUCGCACUAUAACUUUAGUUUAAGUAAAUAGAAAUCUAUGAAAUUUUGACACAAGGUUUAUGACCACAAAAGGAAGGUUGGGAUUGAUUUUGGGAGUUUUGGUUCCAACAGUUUAGGAAUUAGGGGCCAAAAAAAGGGCCCAAAUAAGCAUUAUUCUUGGUUUUCGUACAAUAACUUUAGUAUAAGUAAAUAGAAAUCAAUGAAAUUUAAACACAAGGUUUAUGACACAAAAGGAAGGUUGGGAUUGAUUUUGGGAGUUUUGGUCCCAACAGUUUAGGAAUUAGGGGCCAAAAAGGGGCCCAAAUAAGCAUUAUUCUUGGUUUUUGCACCAUAACUUUAGUAUAAGUGAAUAGAAAUCUAUGAAAUUUAAACACAAGGUUUAUGACCAUAAAAGGAAGG